AUAAGACGGAAAACAUCUGUGCGCUGACUCAAAUAUCUCUCCUCUGUUCCUCCAGGGUUGGCUCUUUUCCUCCUGACAUAAGAGUGGCAAAAAUAACAAAUGUCGUUUAUUGAGGACAUACUACAUGUUAGGGACUCUUUGUACAGUAUCUCAUCAAUGCUCACAGCAACUCAUUGACGUGGAUAUUAUCACUCCUGUUUUACAGGCGAGAAGACAAAAAUUUGGAGAUGACUUGUGCCAGACCACGCAGCCAGCAGAACAGACGAUGGAGACAGAGAGUGCUAAUUGAACAUUUGGACUUCCUCAAUGGCUUAGCGGGUAAAGGAUCUGCCUGCAAUGCAGGAGACACACAGAAGACAUGAGUUUGAGAAGACAGGGGUCGAGAAGAUUCUCUAGAAAAGGAAACCCACUCAAGUAUUGCCUGAAAUAUCCCAUGGACAGAAGAGCCCAGCAGGCUACAGUCCAAAGGGUUGCAAAUAGUUGGACAUGACUGAGUGAUUAAGGAUGUAUGCAAUUGAAAACUUAGGUUAAUAAAGGAAUUUAAAAGAGGAAAAAA
Molecule: long non-coding RNA, 556 nt
Organism: Bubalus bubalis (water buffalo)
Lineage: Eukaryota; Metazoa; Chordata; Mammalia; Artiodactyla; Bovidae
Exons: 2
Source: RefSeq, a predicted model, not a curated record